This 904-nucleotide ribosomal RNA is filed under the name uncultured bacterium. RNAcentral describes it as "bacterial SSU rRNA". It matches the Rfam family "Bacterial small subunit ribosomal RNA", at positions 27 to 905 of the family's 1533-position model. The record is from RNAcentral.
GAACGAACGCUGGCGGCGUGCCUAACACAUGCAAGUCGAGCGAGAAAAGGGGGGCAACUCCCUGAGUACAGCGGCGCACGGGUGAGUAACACGUAGGUAAUCUCCCCUCGAGCCCGGAAUAACCUACCGAAAGGUGGGCUAAUACCGGAUAUGACCACGGAAGUUUCGGCUUCUGCGGUGAAAGAUGGCCUCUAUUUAUAAGCUAUCACUCAAGGAUGAGCCUGCGUGCCAUUAGCUAGUUGGUGGGGUAAUGGCCCACCAAGGCUAUGAUGGCUAGCUGGUCUGAGAGGAUGGCCAGCCACACUGGGACUGAAACACGGCCCAGACUCCUACGGGAGGCAGCAGUGGGGGAUAUUGCGCAAUGGGCGAAAGCCUGACGCAGCGACGCCGCGUGGGUGAUGAAGGCCUUCGGGUCGUAAAGCCCUGUCGAGGGGGACGAAUCGGUUGCGACCUAACACGUCGUGAUCUUGACGGUACCCCUAAAGGAAGCACCGGCUAACUCCGUGCCAGCAGCCGCGGUAAUACGGAGGGUGCUAGCGUUGUUCGGAAUCACUGGGCGUAAAGCGCGUGUAGGCGGUCCGUUAAGUCUGAUGUGAAAGCCCGGGGCUCACCCCCGGAAGUGCAUUGGAAACUGACGAACUCGAGUCCCGGAGAGGAGGGUGGAAUUCCUGGUGUAGCGGUGAAAUGCGUAGAUAUCAGGAGGAACACCGGUGGCGAAGGCGGCCCUCUGGACGGUGACUGACGCUGAGACGCGAAAGCGUGGGGAGCAAACAGGAUUAGAUACCCUGGUAGUCCACGCCGUAAACGAUGAGCACUAGGUGUCGCGGGUAUUGACCCCUGCGGUGCCGACGCUAACGCAUUAAGUGCUCCGCCUGGGGAAUACGGCCCGCAGGUUAAACUCAAA